AGCGGCGGACGGGUGAGUAACACGUGGGUAACCUGCCCAAGAGGCUGGGAUAACACCUGGAAACAGAUGCUAAUACCGGAUAACAACACUAGACGCAUGUCUAGAGUUUGAAAGAUGGUUCUGCUAUCACUCUUGGAUGGACCUGCGGUGCAUUAGCUAGUUGGUAAGGUAACGGCUUACCAAGGCAAUGAUGCAUAGCCGAGUUGAGAGACUGAUCGGCCACAUUGGGACUGAGACACGGCCCAAACUCCUACGGGAGGCAGCAGUAGGGAAUCUUCCACAAUGGACGAAAGUCUGAUGGAGCAACGCCGCGUGAGUGAAGAAGGGUUUCGGCUCGUAAAGCUCUGUUGGUAGUGAAGAAAGAUAGAGGUAGUAACUGGCCUUUAUUUGACGGUAAUUACUUAGAAAGUCACGGCUAACUACGUGCCUGCAGCCGCGGUAAUACGUAGGUGGCAAGCGUUGUCCGGAUUCAUUGGGCGUAAAGCGAGUGCAGGCGGUUCAAUAAGUCUGAUGUGAAAGCCUUCGGCUCAACCGGAGAAUUGCAUCAGAAACUGUUGAACUUGAGUGCAGAAGAGGAGAGUGGAACUCCAUGUGUAGCGGUGGAAUGCGUAGAUAUAUGGAAGAACACCAGUGGCGAAGGCGACUCUCUGGUCUGCAACUGACGCUGAGGCUCGAAAGCAUGGGUAGCGAACAGGAUUAGAUACCCUGGUAGUCCAUGCCGUAAACGAUGAGUGCUAAGUGU
RNAcentral lists this ribosomal RNA (742 nucleotides) under uncultured bacterium. RNAcentral describes it as "bacterial SSU rRNA". It matches the Rfam family "Bacterial small subunit ribosomal RNA", at positions 94 to 823 of the family's 1533-position model. The record is from RNAcentral.